Molecule: unclassified non-coding RNA, 381 nt
Filed under: uncultured Alphaproteobacteria bacterium
Lineage: Bacteria; Pseudomonadati; Pseudomonadota; Alphaproteobacteria
Description: contains 16S-23S intergenic spacer region
Source: RNAcentral
UCCGGCUUGUCACCGGCAGUUUCUCCAGAGUGCCCGGCAUAACCCGAUGGCAACUGAAGAUGGGGGUUGCGCUCGUUGCGGGACUUAACCCAACAUCUCACGACACGAGCUGACGACAGCCAUGCAGCACCUGUGUUCCCGCCAGCCGAACUGAAGAGUGGGGUCUCCCCCACCCACACGGGACAUGUCAAGGGCUGGUAAGGUUCUUCGCGUUGCUUCGAAUUAAACCACAUGCUCCACCGCCUGUGCAGGCCCCCGUCAAUUUCUUUGAGUUUUAACCUUGCGGCCGUACUCCCCAGGCGGGAUGCUUAAUGCGUUAGCUGCGCCACCAACAAGCAUGCUUGCUGACGGCUAGCAUCCAUCGUUUAAGGCGUGGACUAC